Molecule: non-coding RNA, 178 nt
Filed under: Gottschalkia purinilytica
Lineage: Bacteria; Bacillati; Bacillota; Tissierellia; Tissierellales; Gottschalkiaceae
Description: Clostridium purinilyticum Lysine sequence
Rfam family: Lysine riboswitch aptamer
About the family: Riboswitches are metabolite binding domains within certain messenger RNAs that serve as precision sensors for their corresponding targets. Allosteric rearrangement of mRNA structure is mediated by ligand binding, and this results in modulation of gene expression. This family includes riboswitches that sense lysine in a number of genes involved in lysine metabolism, including lysC.
Source: Rfam by way of RNAcentral
AGGAUAGGUAGAGGUUGCAAUAUCUAUUAGUAGUAUUGUAGAGGUGAGUACGAUGAAACAAUAUGAAAGGAGAUAUUGCCGAAGCAUAUAGCCUAAACUCAAGGGCUAUAUGACUGGUUAUACGUAGAAUAUGCGUAUAACUGUCACAAAUUUAUAUUUGUGGAGAGCUAUCAUUCAA